UACGUAGGCAGCGAGCGUUGUUCGGAGUUACUGGGCGUAAAGGGUGUGUAGGCGGUCCGCUAAGUUCGGCGUGAAAUCCCCUGGCUCAACUGGGGAACUGCGCUGGAUACUGGUGGACUUGAGUACCGGAGAGGAGAGUGGAAUUCCUGGUGUAGCGGUGAAAUGCGUAGAUAUCAGGAGGAACACCGGUGGCGAAGGCGGCUCUCUGGACGGAUACUGACGCUGAGGCGCGAAAGCGUGGGGAUCAAACAGG
RNAcentral lists this ribosomal RNA (253 nucleotides) under uncultured bacterium. RNAcentral's name for it is "partial 16S ribosomal RNA". It matches the Rfam family "Bacterial small subunit ribosomal RNA", at positions 524 to 776 of the family's 1533-position model. The record is from RNAcentral.